This 240-nucleotide unclassified non-coding RNA is filed under the name soil metagenome. RNAcentral's name for it is "partial contains 5.8S ribosomal RNA, internal transcribed spacer 2, and large subunit ribosomal RNA". The record is from RNAcentral.
AACAAGGCGUACCUGCGGACCUGCGGAAGGAUCAUUACCGAGUGCGGGUCUUUAUGGCCCAACCUCCCACCCGUGACUAUUGUACCUUGUUGCUUCGGCGGGCCCGCCAGCGUUGCUGGCCGCCGGGGGGCGUCUCGCCCCCGGGCCCGUGCCCGCCGGAGACCCCAACAUGAACCCUGUUCUGAAAGCUUGCAGUCUGAGUGUGAUUCUUUGCAAUCUGUUAAAACUUUCAACAACGGA